UGGGGAAUUUUGGACAAUGGGGGCAACCCUGAUCCAGCAAUGCCGCGUGUGUGAAGAAGGCCUUCGGGUUGUAAAGCACUUUUGUACGGGCAGAUAUCGCACCUGAUAAUACCGGGUGUGGCUGACGUGACCGGAAGAAUAAGGACCGGCUAACUACGUGCCAGCAGCCGCGGUAAUACGUAGGGUCUAAGCGUUAAUCGGACUUACUGGGCGUAAAGCGGGCGCAGGCUGUUGUGCAAGACCGAUGUGAAAUCCCCGGGCUUAACCUGAGAAUUGCGUUGGUGACUGCACGGCUAGAGUGUGUCAGAGGGAGGUAGAAUUCCACGUGUAGCAGUGAAAUGCGUAGAGAUGUGGAGGAAUACCGAUGGCGAAGGCAGCCCCCUGGGAUAACACUGACACUCCUGCACGAAAGCGUUGGGAGCAAACAGG
RNAcentral lists this ribosomal RNA (429 nucleotides) under Bacillota bacterium. RNAcentral's name for it is "Firmicutes bacterium partial 16S ribosomal RNA". It matches the Rfam family "Bacterial small subunit ribosomal RNA", at positions 355 to 776 of the family's 1533-position model. Lineage: Bacteria; Bacillati; Bacillota. The record is from RNAcentral.